AGUUUGAUCCUGCUCAGAUUGAACGCUGGCGGGAUGCUUUGCAUAUACGCAAGUCGAACGGCAGCACGGACUUCGGUCUGGUGGCGAGUGGCGAACGGGUGAGUAAUGUAUCGAACGCUCAGUAGCGGUGAUAACUACGCGAAAGCGUAGCUAAUACCGCACAUUAUCUUCGGGAAAGUGGGACCUUCAGCCUCGCACUAUUAGAGCGGCUCGAUAUCGGAUUAGCUAGUUGGUGGGGUAACGGCUCACCGGUUAUGACGAUCUGUAGCUGGUUUGAGAGGACGACCAGCCACACUGACUGAGACACGCCCAGACUCACGGAGCAGCAGUGGGGAAAUGGGAUGUAUCGGGGAAACCCUGAUCCAGCCAUCUUGGCGUGUGCGAUGAAGGCCUUCGGUUAGAAAGCACUUUUGGCAGGAAGAACGGCACGGGAUAAUACCCCGUGCAACUGACGGUACCUGCAGCACAAGCGCAAUCACACCACGUGCCAGCAGCCGCGGUAAUAGUCGUAGGGUGCAAGCGUUAAUCGGAAUUACUGAGCGCAAAGCGUGCGCAGGCGGUUCGGAAAGAAAGAUGUGAAAUCCUGUGAGCUUAACUUUGGAACUGUAUUUUUAAUCACCGAGCUAGAGUGUGUCAGAGGGAGGUGAAUUCCGCGUGUAGCAGUGAAAUGCGUAGAUAUGCGGAGGAACACCGAUGGCGAAGGCAGCCUCCUGGGAUAACACUGACGUAUCAUACUCGAAAAGCGUGGGGAGCAAACAGGAUUAGAUACCAGAACCACGCCCUAAACGAUGUCAACUAGCUGUUGGGGCCUUCGGCCUGGUAUGCGCCAACGCGUGAAGCGGACCGCUCUGGGGAGUACGGUCAAAGAUUAAAACUCAAAAAGGAAUUCCCGACGGGGACCCGCACAAGCGGUGGAUGAUGUGAUUAUCUGAUGCAACGCGAAAACCUUACCUACCCUGAUGUCUGGAAUCCCGGAAGAGACGGGGAGUGCUCGCAAGAGAACCGAACACAGGUGCUGUAUGGCUGUCGUCAGCUCGUGUCGUGAGAUGUUGUCAAGUCCGCAACGAGCGCAACCCUUGUCAUUAGUUGCUACGAAAGGGCACCCUAAUGAGACUUUGCCGGUGACAAACCGGAGGAAGGUGGGGAUGACGUCAAGUCCUCAGCGGCUCCCAUGGGUAGGGCUUCACACGUCAUACAAUGGUCGGGACAGAGGUCGCCAACCCGCGAGGGGGAGCCAAUCCCAGAAACCCGAUCGUAGUCCGGAUCGCAGUCUGCAACUCGACUGCGUGAAGUCGGAAUCGCUAGUAAUCGCGGAUCAGCAUGUCGGGUGAAUACGUUCCCGGGUCUUGUACACACCGCCCGUCACACCAUGGGGAGUGGGUUUUACCAGAAGUAGUUAGCCUAACCGUAAGGAGGGCGAUUACCACGGUAGGAUUCAUGACUGGGGUGAAGUCGUAACAAGGU
This 1464-nucleotide ribosomal RNA is filed under the name uncultured Bordetella sp. Its description in RNAcentral is "partial 16S-23S ribosomal RNA intergenic spacer". It matches the Rfam family "Bacterial small subunit ribosomal RNA". The record is from RNAcentral. Lineage: Bacteria; Pseudomonadati; Pseudomonadota; Betaproteobacteria; Burkholderiales; Alcaligenaceae.